GUACACUCCUGCGGGAGGCAGCAGUGGGGAAUUUUGGACAAUGGGGGCAACCCUGAUCCAGCAAUGCCGCGUGAGUGAAGAAGGCCUUCGGGUUGUAAAGCUCUUUUGUCAGGGAAGAAACGGUAGUAGCGAAUAACUAUUACUAAUGACGGUACCUGAAGAAUAAGCACCGGCUAACUACGUGCCAGCAGCCGCGGUAAUACGUAGGGUGCAAGCGUUAAUCGGAAUUACUGGGCGUAAAGCGUGCGCAGGCGGUUGUGUAAGUCAGAUGUGAAAUCCCCGGGCUCAACCUGGGAAUUGCAUUUGAGACUGCACGGCUAGAGUGUGUCAGAGGGGGGUAGAAUUCCACGUGUAGCAGUGAAAUGCGUAGAUAUGUGGAGGAAUACCGAUGGCGAAGGCAGCCCCCUGGGAUAACACUGACGCUCAUGCACGAAAGCGUGGGGAGCAAACAGGAUUAGAUACCCGUGUAGUCCCAU
RNAcentral lists this ribosomal RNA (476 nucleotides) under uncultured organism. Its description in RNAcentral is "partial 16S ribosomal RNA". It matches the Rfam family "Bacterial small subunit ribosomal RNA", at positions 331 to 798 of the family's 1533-position model. The record is from RNAcentral.